UAAACUAUAAAAGCUUUGGGGAUUC
Molecule: non-coding RNA, 25 nt
Filed under: Rattus norvegicus (Norway rat)
Lineage: Eukaryota; Metazoa; Chordata; Mammalia; Rodentia; Muridae
Source: RNAcentral